RNAcentral lists this non-coding RNA (234 nucleotides) under Desulfotruncus arcticus DSM 17038. Lineage: Bacteria; Bacillati; Bacillota; Clostridia; Eubacteriales; Desulfallaceae. The record is from RNAcentral.
GAAAUCCUCUCAGGUAAUACCUAACCAGUAGCCUGUACCUAGUCCUUGGAACCGAAAUGGUAACAUUAGGUUUAAGCGUAGGACGGGGAGCAAACGAGCCGAAAUGAAAGUGAAGCUAUUGAGCCACGAAAUCAUUAUCUAAAUGAAGAGGUCGAUACUGUCCUUACGGUAGCAGACAACAUCAUACAAAUCGUAAUGGUGAGACUUGCAUGACUCUUCCGGGGUCUGAGGGCU